AGUGAACGCUGGCGGUAGGCCUAACACAUGCAAGUCGAACGGCAGCACAGUAAGAGCUUGCUCUUACGGGUGGCGAGUGGCGGACGGGUGAGGAAUACAUCGGCAUCUACUUUUUCGUGGGGGAUAACGUAGGGAAACUUACGCUAAUACCGCAUACGACCUACGGGGGAAAGCAGGGGAUCUUCGGACCUUGCGCGAUUGAAUGAGCCGAUGUCGGAUUAGCUAGUUGGCGGGGUAAAGGCCCACCAAGGCGACGAUCCGUAGCUGGUCUGAGAGGAUGAUCAGCCACACUGGAACUGAGACACGGUCCAGACUCCUACGGGAGGCAGCAGUGGGGAAUAUUGGACAAUGGGCGCAAGCCUGAUCCAGCCAUACCGCGUGGGUGAAGAAGGCCUUCGGGUUGUAAAGCCCUUUUGUUGGGAAAGAAAAGCAGCAGGUUAAUACCCCGCUGUUCUGACGGUACCCAAAGAAUAAGCACCGGCUAACUUCGUG
This 492-nucleotide ribosomal RNA is filed under the name uncultured bacterium. RNAcentral describes it as "partial 16S ribosomal RNA". It matches the Rfam family "Bacterial small subunit ribosomal RNA", at positions 29 to 507 of the family's 1533-position model. The record is from RNAcentral.